This is a long non-coding RNA of Capsicum annuum, 665 nucleotides long. RefSeq lists it as uncharacterized. NCBI's taxonomy places the organism in Eukaryota, Viridiplantae, Streptophyta, Magnoliopsida, Solanales, Solanaceae. The transcript has 2 exons. The record is from RefSeq and is a predicted model, not a curated record.
AGUUUUUAUUCACUGGUUUUGGAGCUGUACGGUUGAACUCAAUAUCGAGUUUGGAGUUGCUCGUUGUGAGGUUCUCCGAUCGAGUAUUUUGGUCUUCGGAUUUCUUAUUAUCGACGAGGAUUAGUUUCGUCAAGAUUAUGAGAUGUGAUUGGAAAAUCGAAGCAUGCACUAAUCAUGUGGUUUAAAGGGAAUUCUGGGCGCGAGUUUAAAAAUUGUUAAAGUGAAUUAGGAUUAAUUUUGAUUUGUUGUUGUUUUGAUUCGUCGUUAUUGUUACUUUCACGUCUAAUUAUCAAUUUCGUGAUAGUAUCAUUGUAAGUCAAGCGGGUAGGCAAUCGUAGGUUCGGGUAGGCGAAAUUUAUGAAUAAGCGUUUUGUUGGAUGUUGGAAUGUGCGUGUGAAUGUUUCUUUCUAGUUUAUCGUAUUUAAUUUAGAUGUAUUUAUUUAGCCGGGGAAUGCCCCGAGACCACUUGUAUUUAUUCACAGGGGAAUGCCCCGACGUAUCAUGUUGGCGAAAAUGAUUGUGAUGAAGGCCCGCGGCGUCGGGUAGGGCAUUGGAGCUUAGAUUUAGUUUUAGACUAGGAUUUAUAUUUUCGUAUUUUUUUUCUAUUUUUCGGACUGUAUAAUUGGACUGGACUUUUACGUUUUUUGGACUGUUUCGUUUCGUUU